GACGAACGCUGGCGGCGUGCUUAACACAUGCAAGUCGAACGGAAAGGCCCUGCUUGCAGGGUACUCGAGUGGCGAACGGGUGAGUAACACGUGGGUGAUCUGCCCUGCACUUCGGGAUAAGCCUGGGAAACUGGGUCUAAUACCGGAUAGGAGCCAUUUUUAGUGUGAUGGUUGGAAAGUUUUUUCGGUGUAGGAUGAGCUCGCGGCCUAUCAGCUUGUUGGUGGGGUAAUGGCCUACCAAGGCGGCGACGGGUAGCCGGCCUGAGAGGGUGGACGGCCACAUUGGGACUGGGAUACGGCCCAGACUCCUACGGGAGGCAGGAGUGGGGAAUAUUGCACAAUGGGCGCAAGCCUGAUGCAGCGACGCCGCGUGGGGGAUGACGGCCUUCGGGUUGGAAACUCCUUUCGCUAGGGACGAAGCUUUUUGUGACGGUACCUAGAUAAGAAGCACCGGCUAACUACGUG
This 465-nucleotide ribosomal RNA is filed under the name uncultured bacterium. RNAcentral's name for it is "partial 16S ribosomal RNA". It matches the Rfam family "Bacterial small subunit ribosomal RNA", at positions 28 to 507 of the family's 1533-position model. The record is from RNAcentral.